Podarcis lilfordi (Lilford's wall lizard) is the source of this 80-nucleotide non-coding RNA. The record is from the annotation of a GenBank genome assembly. Lineage: Eukaryota; Metazoa; Chordata; Lepidosauria; Squamata; Lacertidae.
GGAGGCGUGUUGGCUCAGAGGCAGAGCAUCUCUGCCUUGCAUGCAGAAGCCUCCAGGUUCAAACCCUGCUGGCAUCUUCA